GAUGAACGCUAGCUACAGGCUUAACACAUGCAAGUCGAGGGGAAACGACAUCGAAAGCUUGCUUUUGAUGGGCGUCGACCGGCGCACGGGUGAGUAACGCGUAUCCAACCUGCCCAUCACUUGGGAAUAACCUUGCGAAAGUGAGACUAAUACCCAAUGAUAUCCCACGAAGGCAUCGGAAUGGGAUUAAAGAUUUAUCGGUGAUGGAUGGGGAUGCGUCUGAUUAGCUUGUUGGCGGGGUAACGGCCCACCAAGGCAACGAUCAGUAGGGGUUCUGAGAGGAAGGUCCCCCACAUUGGAACUGAGACACGGUCCAAACUCCUACGGGAGGCAGCAGUGAGGAAUAUUGGUCAAUGGGCGAGAGCCUGAACCAGCCAAGUAGCGUGCAGGAAGACGGCCCUAUGGGUUGUAAACUGCUUUUAUAAGGGAAUAAAGUGGGUCACGUGUGACUUUUUGCAUGUACCUUAUGAAUAAGGACCGGCUAAUUCCGUG
This 492-nucleotide ribosomal RNA is filed under the name uncultured bacterium. RNAcentral describes it as "partial 16S ribosomal RNA". It matches the Rfam family "Bacterial small subunit ribosomal RNA", at positions 28 to 507 of the family's 1533-position model. The record is from RNAcentral.